This 414-nucleotide long non-coding RNA is filed under the name Cavia porcellus (domestic guinea pig). Its description in RNAcentral is "lncRNA (ENSCPOG00000037583.1)". The record is from RNAcentral. Lineage: Eukaryota; Metazoa; Chordata; Mammalia; Rodentia; Caviidae.
GCCGACUCUAGUUUUGGAAAGGGGAUCUGAUUAUACACCUGCCUUUCGCGGAAGUGCAACGUCUAGAUCCUUAUGGGUCUAGGGAGAAAUCAGGUCAGUGUGUGGCUUUAUUUCUGCAAGUUACUUUUGUCUCAGUGCAGGAUGAGGGCGGUCCGUGGAAACGGAGCAGCGUGGAUCCAUGGAGAUGGCAGGGGCGUUCGGCAGGUACCAUACUGUCCUGACUUCUCAGGAGCACAAGCAUCAUAUAAAGGAAGAGGAAUUUACAAGAUUUGGGUAUCUGCAUUCGAGCAGAAGACACCAAGACAGCAUCCAAGUGGUCAGCAACUUUCUGAAAAAAGAAGACAAUGAUCCAGGCCAAGGUAACUUAACUUUGGAUUUGUUUUACAGUCUUUCCUUUUCUUUGUUCCCAUUAUU